RNAcentral lists this ribosomal RNA (483 nucleotides) under uncultured bacterium. Its description in RNAcentral is "partial 16S ribosomal RNA". It matches the Rfam family "Bacterial small subunit ribosomal RNA", at positions 30 to 506 of the family's 1533-position model. The record is from RNAcentral.
AUUGAACGCUGGCGGCAGGCCUAACACAUGCAAGUCGAGCGGAUGAAGGGAGCUUGCUCCUGGAUUCAGCGGCGGACGGGUGAGUAAUGCCUAGGAAUCUGCCUGGUAGUGGGGGAUAACGUCCGGAAACGGGCGCUAAUACCGCAUACGUCCUGAGGGAGAAAGUGGGGGAUCUUCGGACCUCACGCUAUCAGAUGAGCCUAGGUCGGAUUAGCUAGUUGGUGGGGUAAAGGCCUACCAAGGCGACGAUCCGUAACUGGUCUGAGAGGAUGAUCAGUCACACUGGAACUGAGACACGGUCCAGACUCCUACGGGAGGCAGCAGUGGUGAAUAUUGGACAAUGGGCGAAAGCCUGAUCCAGCCAUGCCGCGUGUGUGAAGAAGGUCUUCGGAUUGUAAAGCACUUUAAGUUGGGAGGAAGGGCAGUAAGUUAAUACCUUGCUGUUUUGACGUUACCAACAGAAUAAGCACCGGCUAACUUCGU